ACCGCGAUAGCUCAGUUGGUAGAGCAUCUGCUCGGUAAGCGGUGUGUCACCGGUUCGAUUCCGCUUCGCGGCG
RNAcentral lists this transfer RNA (73 nucleotides) under Fasciola gigantica. It matches the Rfam family "tRNA". From Rfam's summary of the family: Transfer RNA (tRNA) molecules are approximately 80 nucleotides in length. The record is from Rfam by way of RNAcentral. Lineage: Eukaryota; Metazoa; Platyhelminthes; Trematoda; Plagiorchiida; Fasciolidae.